UACCUGCAGCUCAAGUGGUGACCACUAUUAUUGGGCCUAAAACGUUCGUAGCCGGUUUGGUAAAUGCCUGGGUAAAUCGUGUAGCUUAACUAUACGAAUUCCGGGUAGACUGCCAAACUUGAGACCGGGAGAAGCUAGAGGUACUCCUGGGGUAGAGGUGAAAUUCUGUAAUCCUGGGGGGACCACCAGUGGCGAAGGCGUCUAGCUAGAACGGGUUUGACGGUGAGGAACGAAGCCCUGGGGCGCAAACCGGAUUAGAUACCCGGGUAGUCCAGGGUGUAAACGCUGCUUGCUUGAUGUUAGUUGGGCUCCGAGCCCAAUUAGUGUCGGAGAGAAGUUGUUAAGCAAGCUGCCUGGGAAGUACGAUCGCAAGACUGAAACUUAAGGAAUUGGCGGGGGAGCACAGCAACGGGUGGAGCGUGCGGUUU
RNAcentral lists this ribosomal RNA (428 nucleotides) under uncultured archaeon. RNAcentral describes it as "bacterial SSU rRNA". It matches the Rfam family "Archaeal small subunit ribosomal RNA", at positions 474 to 903 of the family's 1478-position model. The record is from RNAcentral.